This 253-nucleotide ribosomal RNA is filed under the name uncultured bacterium. RNAcentral's name for it is "partial 16S ribosomal RNA". It matches the Rfam family "Bacterial small subunit ribosomal RNA", at positions 524 to 776 of the family's 1533-position model. The record is from RNAcentral.
UACGUAGGUGGCAAGCGUUGUUCGGAAUUACUGGGCGUAAAGAGCUUGUAGGCGGUUUGUCGCGUCUGCCGUGAAAAUCCGGGGCUCAACCCCGGACUUGCGGUGGGUACGGGCAGACUAGAGUGUGGUAGGGGAGACUGGAAUUCCUGGUGUAGCGGUGAAAUGCGCAGAUAUCAGGAGGAACACCGAUGGCGAAGGCAGGUCUCUGGGCCACUACUGACGCUGAGAAGCGAAAGCGUGGGGAGCGAACAGG